Long non-coding RNA from Physeter macrocephalus (sperm whale), 1303 nucleotides. RefSeq lists it as uncharacterized. The record is from RefSeq and is a predicted model, not a curated record. The transcript is spliced from 2 exons. Lineage: Eukaryota; Metazoa; Chordata; Mammalia; Artiodactyla; Physeteridae.
UUCACUCAGUCAUUCUUAGUUUUCUUUUCAAGAUUCCCAAAUAGUAAAAUUCAGCCAAAUUUGAUUUACAAAAAAAAAAAAAACAAAACAAAAAAAAAAAAACCAUGACCAAAACCGAGUGCGAUUUAUCCCAGGAAUGCUAAGUUGGUUCAAUACCUGAUAAUCAAAUUAAUAUAAUACAUAUAUAAUAUAUAAUAAAGUACAAAAAAACUCACAUGAUUAUCUCAGAAAAGGCAGAAGAAGCAUUUGACAGAAUCCAAAGACUCCUUUAUAAUAAAAGCCCUCAACAAAUUAGGAGUGGAAUGGAACUUCCUCAACCUGGUGAAGGACAUAUACAAAACACAGCUGACGUCAUACUUAAAUGUGAAAGGUCGGAUGCUUUCCCCCUAAGAUCAGGAACAAAAUAAGGAUGUUUACUCUCAUCUCUUCUACUUGGCAUUGUACUGGAAGUUCUAGCUAGGGCAGUUGGCAAGAAAAAUAAAUAAAAGGUAUCCAGAUUGAAAAGGAAGAAGUAAGACUAUCUAUUCACAGAUUCCAUGAUCUUGUUGUCUUAAUCCAUUCAGGGUGCUAUAGCAAAAUACCACAGACUGGGUGGCUUAUAAACAACAGAAAUUUAUUGCUCACAGGUCUGGAGGCUGGGAAGUCCAAGAUCAAGGUGCCAACAUGGUCACCUUCUGGUGAAGGCCCUCUUCCUGGUUCAUAGCCGGCACCUUCUUGCUGUGUCCUCACAUGGUGGAAGAGGUGUGGGGUGUCUCUGGAGCCUCUGUUGUAAGGGCACCAGUCCCACUCAUGGGAGCUCCAUCCUCAUGAUGCCGGAACAAUGUGUAUCUGUUGAGUAAAUGAGGGAACAAACUUCUUUUCUGAAAUGGUGGAGUGAAUGGAUCCCUCUUUAUCCUCAUCACAGCCUUGCCGCGUAGGAAGGAACUGGUCUCGGGGGAGCAUGGCUCAGGCUUGGCGUCCCCUCUGUUCGCUGUGGCUGUACAAGAAUGUCUGUAGCUCCUUGAGCCUCUUCCGUCGGGUUCUUAUGAGGCUAAGUGACAUAAGGCCUCACUUGUAUUAGGCAAUUUAAAUGACAGCUAUUAAUCAUUAUUAGUUAUAACAAUUUUAUCGGUUUUGGGGGGAAAAUGUGAGUAUACUUGUUAUAUAUGUCUGUCAGUAGUUCAGCAUCUUUGAUGAAAUAGCUGCUUUGAUUUAUAGAAAAUGCAAAGUUUUGCUGUAGUUACUCAGCUAUACCACAGGCAGACAUGAGUGUAGAAUGCACUUCUCAUUUCUAAUGACAAAUUAAAUGUACAGUUGAACGUGA